GAUGAAGAACGUAGCGAAAUGCGAUAAGUAAUGCGAAUUGCAGAAUUCCGUGAGUCAUCGAAUCUUUGAACGCACAUUGCGCCCUCUGGUAUUCCGGAGGGCAUGCCAGUCUGAGCGUCAUUGUCAACCCUCAAGCUCAGCUUGCUGUUGGGUCCCCGUCGUUGCUUUAACGGCGGACCCGAAAGGUAAUGGCAGAGUCCGUGAGACCCUAGACGCAGCGAGCUUCUAGCACGCGUCUGGACGUUUUUCGGGCUCGGUCUUAACUAGAUGAUAACUUCCGAUUGACCUCAGAUCAGGUAGGGAUACCCGCUGAACUUAAGCAUAUCAAUAAGCGGAGGA
This 339-nucleotide unclassified non-coding RNA is filed under the name soil metagenome. Its description in RNAcentral is "partial contains 5.8S ribosomal RNA, internal transcribed spacer 2, and large subunit ribosomal RNA". The stretch from base 1 to 120 matches the Rfam family "5.8S ribosomal RNA", at positions 35 to 154 of the family's 154-position model. The record is from RNAcentral.